Molecule: ribosomal RNA, 514 nt
Filed under: uncultured bacterium
Lineage: Bacteria
Description: bacterial SSU rRNA
Rfam family: Bacterial small subunit ribosomal RNA
Source: RNAcentral
CAAGUCGAGGGACCGGCGCACGGGUGAGUAACACGUAUCCAACCUUCCGUUUACUCAGGGAUAGCCUUUCGAAAGAAAGAUUAAUACCUGAUAGUAAACGAUGGGAUGCGUUCCAUUAGGUAGUAGGCGGGGUAACGGCCCACCUAGCCGACGAUGGAUAGGGGUUCUGAGAGGAAGGUCCCCCACAUUGGAACUGAGACACGGUCCAAACUCUACGGGAGGCAGCAGUGAGGAAUAUUGGUCAAUGGGCGAGAGCCUGAACCAGCCAAGUAGCGUGAAGGAUGAAGGUCUACGGAUUGUAAACUUCUUUUAUACGGGAAUAUGUACCGUAUGAAUAAGCAUCGGCUAACUCCGUGCCAGCAGCCGCGGUAAUACGGAGGGUGCGAGCGUUAUCCGGAUUUAUUGGGUUUAAAGGGAGCGCAGACGGGAGAUUAAGUCAGUUGUGAAAGUUUGCGGCUCAACCGUAAAAUUGCAGUUGAUACUGGUUUCCUUGAGUGCAGUUGAGGCAGGCGGA